AUUGAACGCUGGCGGCAGGCCUAACACAUGCAAGUCGAACGAGUGGCGGACGGGUGAGUAAUGUCUGGGAAACUGCCCGAUGGAGGGGGCUAACUACUGGAAACGGUAGCUAAUACCGCAUACCAUCGGAUGUGCCCAGAUGGGAUUAGCUAGUAGGUGGGGUAACGGCUCACCUAGGCGACGAUCCCUAGCUGGUUUGAGAGGAUGAACAGCCACACUGGAAAUUGCACACGGUCCCGACUCCGACGGGAGGCAGGAGUGGGGAAUUAUGCAAAAUGGGGGUAAGCCGUAUGCAGCAAGGCCGCGUGUAUGAAGAAGGCCUUCGGGUUGUAAAGUACUUUCAGCGAGGAGGCGUUACUCGCAGAAGAAGCACCGGCUAACUCCGUGCCAGCAGCCGCGGUAAGAC
RNAcentral lists this ribosomal RNA (406 nucleotides) under uncultured bacterium. RNAcentral's name for it is "partial 16S ribosomal RNA". It matches the Rfam family "Bacterial small subunit ribosomal RNA", at positions 30 to 526 of the family's 1533-position model. The record is from RNAcentral.